This 251-nucleotide ribosomal RNA is filed under the name uncultured prokaryote. RNAcentral describes it as "partial 16S rRNA". It matches the Rfam family "Bacterial small subunit ribosomal RNA", at positions 525 to 775 of the family's 1533-position model. The record is from RNAcentral.
ACGGAGGGUGCAAGCGUUAAUCGGAAUUACUGGGCGUAAAGCGCACGUAGGCUGUAGUGUAAGUCAGGGGUGAAAUCCCACGGCUCAACCGUGGAACUGCCUUUGAUACUGCACAACUUGAAUCCGGGAGAGGGUGGCGGAAUUCCAGGUGGAGGAGCGCCUGCCGUAGAGAUCUGGAGGAGCAGCAGAGGCGAAGGCAGCAACCAGGAUUAGUAUCCACGGUGGGCUGCGAAAGCGUGGCUAACAAAAAG